GAACGAACGCUGGCGGCGUGCCUAACACAUGCAAGUCGAACGAGAAAGUUUCCUUCGGGAAACCAGUAAAGUGGCGCAAGGGUGAGUAACACGUGAAUAAUCUGCCUAUGAAUUCGGGAUAACUCGGCGAAAGUUGUGCUAAUACCGGAUAAGACCACGUUUCUUAUGUAACGUGGCCAAAGGAACCUCAAGUUCCGUUUAUAGAUGAGUUCGCGGACCAUUAGCUAGUUGGAGGGAUAAUAGCCCCCCAAGGCUACGAUGGUUAGCCGGCCUGAGAGGGUGAUCGGCCACACUGGAACUGAGACACGGUCCAGACUCCUACGGGAGGCAGCAGUGGGGAAUAUUGCGCAAUGGGCGAAAGCCUGACGCAGCAACGCCGCGUGAGGGAUGAAGGAUUUUGGUUCGUAAACCUCUGUCAAGUGGGAAGAAUAAUGACGGUACCACUAAAGGAAGCCCCGGCUAACUCCGUGCCAGCAGCCGCGGUAAUACGGAGGGGGCAAGCGUUGUUCGGAAUUAUUGGGCGUAAAGAGUAUGUAGGCGGCUGGAUAAGUCAGACGUGUAAGCCCAGGGCUCAACCCUGGAAUUGCGUUUGAAACUAUUCAGCUUGAGUACAGGAGAGGAAGGCGGAAUUUCAGGUGUAGCGGUGAAAUGCGUAGAUAUCUGAAGGAACACCAGUGGCGAAGGCGGCUCUCUGGGCCAAUACUGACGCUGAGGUGCGAAAGCGUGGGUAGCAAACGGGAUUAGAUACCCCGGUAGUCCACGCCGUAAACGAUGUCAAAAGUAACUGUUGGGCGGGUUUCCGCUUAGUGGUGCAGCUAACGCAAUAAGUUGACCGCUUGGGGAGGACGGCCGCAAGGCUAAAACUCAAAUGAAUUGACGGGGGCCCGCACAAGCGGUGUAGCAUGUGGUUUAAUUCGAUGGAACGCGAAGAACCUUACCUACCCUUGACAUACAGAGACCUUUCCAGAGAUGGAUUGGUGCCUUCGGGAACUCUGAUACAGGUGCUGCAUCGCUGUCGUCAGCUCGUGUCGUGAGAUGUUGGGUUAAGUCCCGUAACGAGCGCAACCCUUAUCCUUAGUUGCUACCAUUAAGUUGGGCACCUCUAGGGAAACUGCCGGUGACAAGCCGGAGGAAGGCGUGGAUGACGUCAAGUCCUCAUGGCCCUUAUAGGCUGGGCUACACACGUGCUACAAUGGCGGUGACAGUGGGCCGCGACCCCGCAAGGGUGAGCUAAUCCCCAAAAACCGUCUCAGUUCGGAUUGUACUCUGCAACUCGAGUGCAUGAAGUUGGAAUCGCUAGUAAUCGCGGAUCAGCAUGCCGCGGUGAAUACGUUCCCGGGCCUUGUACACACCGC
This 1355-nucleotide ribosomal RNA is filed under the name uncultured prokaryote. Its description in RNAcentral is "partial 16S ribosomal RNA". It matches the Rfam family "Bacterial small subunit ribosomal RNA", at positions 27 to 1393 of the family's 1533-position model. The record is from RNAcentral.